RNAcentral lists this long non-coding RNA (785 nucleotides) under Homo sapiens (human). RNAcentral describes it as "HSALNT0259061". Lineage: Eukaryota; Metazoa; Chordata; Mammalia; Primates; Hominidae. The record is from RNAcentral.
GACAUAGAUGCAGCUGUUGUCGGCCUCCUGCUGGUAAUCACAGUUCCGGCACUACGAGAGGGCGAGUGUGGGGGAAAGGGGGUCACGGAAGGAUUCCAGACAAGAUUGGGAGGAGAGGGCAGGGUGAUCCCGGAGGAUAUGACGACAGGACUCUCUUUGGGGAUGGGCAGGACAUGAGAGUCAGGAUCACUUGAGGUGCAGCGGAGGGCGAACAGGGAGUCCGAUCACAGAGGCAGGGGGCAGGGCGGGGCCACGCUGGGAACAGGUGGACCUGCCGGGGAAGACCCCGGCGCUCACCGCGUAGAGCAGAAUGCGGUUCUCCUUGUCUUCCUUGGGGUACAGCAUGUUGUUACUGUGGGGAGGGGGAGGUGCCAGGGGUUAGUUCUGGAGCCAUUCCUCGCCCGCCUUCUAACAUCACCCGCUCCCUCCGCCUCACCAUUCCUGGCAGAAGCGAAUACCCACGAAGCCCGGCUCGUAAGUCCCGUCGGGCUCCAUGGCGACGCGCAGCCCGCGCAGCCCUCCCAGCCUUCCGCGCUUGCUCCGCCGCGCUACAGGUCGCGGGAGGGGCCAGGCCUAGGUGCUUCGCCAAAAGAGGGCGGAGCUGCGCACACGUGCUGGCUCCCCGCCGCCUCGGGCUCGGCUCUCUCCGCGCAGAGGUUUCAUGGCUUGCUUCAAUCUUUUGAUAUCUUAGAGUAAUUGCUUCCAAUUUUUGGGCAUCGCCGCCUCAGUUUACAGAAUAGUAUGGAUCUGGUGCCAGAGCCGGGAAAACGAUGCGCAUCGUAAAC